AGAGUUUGAUUAUGGCUCAGGACGAACGCUGGCGGCGUGCUUCAUACAUGCAAGUCGAACGAUAAGGUCUCUUCGGAGAUACAUAAGUGGCGGACGGGUGAGUAAAAUGUAGAGAAUCUGCCCUAGAGAGGGGGACAACAGAGGGAAACUUCUGCUAAUACCCCAUAUGAGCGUAGCUGAAAUGCUAUUCUUGAAAACUCCGGUGCUCUGGGAUGAGUCUGCAUCUGAUUAGCUAGUUGGGGGUGUAAUGGACCACCAAGGCGACGAUCAGUAGCUGGUUUGAGAGGAUGAUCAGCCACAAUGGGACUGAGACACGGCCCAUACUCCUACGGGAGGCAGCAGUAGGGAAUUUUGCGCAAUGGGGGAAACCCUGACGCAGCAACGCCGCGUGACCGAUGAAGCCCUUCGGGGUGUAAAGGUCUGUCAGUGGGGACGAAGAAUGACGGUACCCACAGAGGAAGCAUCGGCUAACUCCGUGCCAGCCGCUGC
This 489-nucleotide ribosomal RNA is filed under the name uncultured bacterium. RNAcentral's name for it is "bacterial SSU rRNA". It matches the Rfam family "Bacterial small subunit ribosomal RNA", at positions 8 to 518 of the family's 1533-position model. The record is from RNAcentral.